CAGCACACCUCAUUCUGUAAAGGUUUUGAAUACUCAUAUUGCCUUUAGUGUAUUGAGUCCUAACACCGACUUGAGAGUAAAACAUGACUGACACAACCUCUGCUUUUCUAUCAACCUGGACGGCGAAGGAUAGCGCGGUGCUGCGCUACAAAUUUACGAGCAAGAAGGAGGUAGAUCUACUGUCAACUUAUGUACCCGAGUCUUUCAGGGGCAAAGGUGUUGCAGCUCUUCUGUCAAAGGCUGCCAUGAAUUUUCUGGUGGAAGAAAACCUCAAGGCCCAUAUAUCUUGUUGGUAUAUUAAGAAAUAUGUUGAGGAAACCCCA
Molecule: long non-coding RNA, 323 nt
Organism: Salvelinus namaycush (lake trout)
Lineage: Eukaryota; Metazoa; Chordata; Actinopteri; Salmoniformes; Salmonidae
Exons: 3
Source: RefSeq, a predicted model, not a curated record